RNAcentral lists this ribosomal RNA (433 nucleotides) under uncultured bacterium. RNAcentral's name for it is "partial 16S ribosomal RNA". It matches the Rfam family "Bacterial small subunit ribosomal RNA", at positions 29 to 507 of the family's 1533-position model. The record is from RNAcentral.
AACGAACGCUGGCGGCAUGCCUAACACAUGCCAGUCGAACGAGACCUUCGGGUCUUGUGGCGCACGGGUGCGUAACGCGUGGGAACCUGCCCUUAGGUUCGGAAUAACUCCCCGAAAGGGGUGCUAAUACCGGAUAAUGUCUUCGGACCAAAGAUUUAUCGCCUUUGGUUGGGCCCGCGUUGGAUUAGCUUGUUGGUAGGGUAAAAGCCUACCAAGGCGACGAUCCAUAGCUGGUUUGAGAGGAUGAUCAUCCACACUGGGACUGAGACACGGCCCAGAAUACUACGGGAGGGAGCAGUGGGGAAUAUUGGACAAUGGGCGAAAGGCUGAUACAGCAAUGCCGCGUGAGUGAUGAAGGCCUUAGGGUAGUAAAGCUCUUUUAACCGGGAUGAUAAUGACAGUACCGGGAGAAUAAGCACCGGCUAACUCCGUG